Molecule: ribosomal RNA, 517 nt
Filed under: uncultured bacterium
Lineage: Bacteria
Description: partial 16S ribosomal RNA
Rfam family: Bacterial small subunit ribosomal RNA
Source: RNAcentral
GACGAACGCUGGCGGCGUGCCUAAUACAUGCAAGUCGAGCGGACCGGAUUGGGGCUUGCCUUGAUUCGGUCAGCGGCGGACGGGUGAGUAACACGUGGGCAACCUGCCCGCAAGACCGGGAUAACUCCGGGAAACCGGAGCUAAUACCGGAUAACACCGAAGACCGCAUGGUCUUCGGUUGAAAGGCGGCCUUUGGGCUGUCACUUGCGGAUGGGCCCGCGGCGCAUUAGCUAGUUGGUGAGGUAACGGCUCACCAAGGCGACGAUGCGGAGCCGGCCUGAGAGGGUGACCGGCCACACUGGGACUGAGACACGGCCCAGACUCCUACGGGAGGCAGCAGUAGGGAAUCUUCCGCAAUGGGCGAAAGCCUGACGGAGCGACGCCGCGUGAGCGAAGAAGGCCUUCGGGUCGUAAAGCUCUGUUGUGAGGGACGAAGGAGCGCCGUUCGAAGAGGGCGGCGCGGUGACGGUACCUCACGAGAAAGCCCCGGCUAACUACGUGCCAGCAGCCGCCGUAA